AUGGCAGCAGUUGGCCUGCAGCCAAGAUGGUUCCUGCUGGAUGCAGAAGGGGGUCCCUACAUUGGCUGGUGGGACAGGAAGGACAUCAAGAAGGGGGAGAAGAACACAAUUGUCACCUCUUACAACAGGAACUUCAUGGGCCGCAGUGAUACCAACCCUGAGACCCAUGCCUUCGUCAAGUUCCCAGAGAUUGUCACAGCCCUGGCCAUUGCAGGAACCUCAAGUUCAACCCAGACACUGACUACCUGAUGAGCAAGGAUGGCAAGAAGUUCAAGCUGGAUGAGCUUCCCCAAGUGGAGUUUGACCCAGGGCAGGACAUCUACCAGCACCUCCACCCCCGCCAAAGGACAGGAGUGGGCAGCACAUUGACGUGAGCCCCACCAGCCAGUGCCUGCAGCUACUGCAGCCUUUUGACAAAUGGGAUGGCAAGGACCUGGAGGACCUGCGGAUCCUCAUCAAGGUCAAAGAGAAGUGUACCACUGACCACAUCUUGGCUGCUGGCCCCUGGCUCAAGUUCCAUGGGCACUUGGACAACAUCUCCAACAACUUGCUCAUUGGUGCCAUCAACAUUGAAAAUGGCAAGGCCAACUCUGUGCACAAUGCCCUCACCCAGGAGUUUGGCCCUGUCCUUGAGACUGCCUGCUACUACAAGAUACAUGGCAUCAGAUUGAUGGUGAUCAGGGACAAGAACUACGGUGAGGGCUCGAGCCAGGAGCAUACAGCACUAGAGUCUCACCACCUUGGGGGCCGGGCCAUCAUCACCAAGAGCUUCGCCAGGAUCCAUGAGACCAACCUGAAGAAGCAGGGCCUGCUGCCCUGACCUUUGCUGACCCAGCUGACUACAACAAGAUUCACCCUGUGGACAAACUGACCAUUCAGAGCCUGAAGAAAUUCUCCCCUGGCAAGUCCCUGAACUGCAUCAUCUGGCACCCCAAUGGGACCCAGGAGACCAUCCUCCUGAACCUCCUGAACCUUCAACGAGAUGCAGAUCAAGUGGUUCCGCACCGGCAGUGCCCUCAACAGAAUGAAGGAGCUGCAGCAAUGA
Molecule: RNA transcript, 1045 nt
Organism: Mandrillus leucophaeus (drill)
Lineage: Eukaryota; Metazoa; Chordata; Mammalia; Primates; Cercopithecidae
Gene name: aconitate hydratase, mitochondrial pseudogene
Exons: 2
Source: RefSeq, a predicted model, not a curated record